Molecule: ribosomal RNA, 496 nt
Filed under: uncultured bacterium
Lineage: Bacteria
Description: partial 16S ribosomal RNA
Rfam family: Bacterial small subunit ribosomal RNA
Source: RNAcentral
AUGCACGCUGGCGGCGUGCCUCAUCCAUGCCAGUCGAGCGAACGGACGAGAAGCUUGCUUCUCUGAUGUUAGCGGCGGACGGGUGAGUAACACGUGGAUAACCUACCUAUAAGACUGGGAUAACUUCGGGAAACCGGAGCUAAUACCGGAUAAUAUUUUGAACCGCAUGGUUCAAAAGUGUAAGACGGUCUUGCUGUCACUUAUAGAUGGAUCCGCGCUGCAUUAGCUAGUUGGUAAGGUAACGGCUUACCAAGGCAACGAUGCAUAGCCGACCUGAGAGGGUGAUCGGCCACACUGGAACUGAGACACGGUCCAGACUCCUACGGGAGGCAGCAGUAGGGAAUCUUCCGCAAUGGGCGAAAGCCUGACGGAGCAACGCCGCGUGAGUGAUGAAGGUCUUCGGAUCGUAAAACUCUGUUAUUAGGGAAGAACAUAUGUGUAAGUAACUGUGCACAUCUUGACGGUACCUAAUCAGAAAGCCACGGCUAACUACGUG